UUCUUAAAUAGAAGCUGGAAUGAAGGAGAAACGACUCUUUCUCUUUUCCGGCGCCACAAUUGAAAUUGAUAUCUGCCUCAAAAAGUGCAGCUUUUUGGGGGGACGACAAGACCCUAUAAAACUUCACUAAAACACCAAAUUUAAAAUUUAGAAAUUUUUAACUUGGGGCUAAGUUACGCUGGGGCGGCACCCAAACUUUAAAAACUUUGACAACACUAACAAUCAUUCAUGACUCUACAGAUCUCCGACAAAGACAUAGAACAAGUUACUUUAGGGAUAACAGCACAAUUUUUUCCGAUAGCUCGCAUAGAAGAAAUAGACUUGUGACCUCGAUGUUGAAUUGAAGGGCCAAAUUUAAGCAAAAAUAAAUUUUGGGGGUCUGUUCGACCUUUA
RNAcentral lists this ribosomal RNA (393 nucleotides) under Disparella sp. RNAcentral's name for it is "partial 16S ribosomal RNA". It matches the Rfam family "Archaeal large subunit ribosomal RNA", at positions 2050 to 2659 of the family's 2987-position model. Lineage: Eukaryota; Metazoa; Arthropoda; Malacostraca; Isopoda; Desmosomatidae. The record is from RNAcentral.